RNAcentral lists this unclassified non-coding RNA (360 nucleotides) under uncultured fungus. RNAcentral describes it as "partial contains 5.8S ribosomal RNA and internal transcribed spacer 2". The stretch from base 1 to 133 matches the Rfam family "5.8S ribosomal RNA", at positions 22 to 154 of the family's 154-position model. The record is from RNAcentral. Lineage: Eukaryota; Fungi.
UGGCUCUCGCAUCGAUGAAGAACGCAGCGAAAUGCGAUAAGUAAUGUGAAUUGCAGAAUUCAGUGAAUCAUCGAAUCUUUGAACGCACCUUGCACCCCUUGGUAUUCCGAGGGGUAUGCCUGUUCGAGUAUCAUCGAAUCUCUCAACGCGCGAUUUCGUCGCUGCGCUUGGAUGUUGGAGCGUGCAGAUGAACUUACAUCUGCUCCUCUCGAAACGCAUCAGCGGAACACGAACCAGCCGUUCUCAGCGUGAUAAUUAUCUGCGUUGCGAUCGGUCGGGGAACACUCUGCUUUCUCUGGUUGCGCCUCGCGCGCAUCUCUGUCACGAUUUGAUCUCGAAUCAGGUAGGAUUACCCGCUGA